RNAcentral lists this unclassified non-coding RNA (255 nucleotides) under Hevea brasiliensis (rubber tree). Lineage: Eukaryota; Viridiplantae; Streptophyta; Magnoliopsida; Malpighiales; Euphorbiaceae. The record is from RNAcentral.
GGCUGAGGAGGAGUGGCUUUCUUCCGCGACAAAUUGGUUGCGACGGCACGACUAGCGCCAAUGAGAGGGGAGUCAUCGGGCUUGAGAUCUUCAUCUAGGGCCAUGGAGGAAGGGUCGAAAUCGGCGUCAUGGGGAGGGGCAGAGGGAGUAAUGUUGGAAGAAGGGCGGUCGUGGAGGUGGAGGCCGUUCUUGUUGGGGUCAAGUGGUUGGGAUUUGGUUUUCUUCAUAGGAGGGGAAGAGAUGGAAGAGGCGGUG